Molecule: long non-coding RNA, 1803 nt
Filed under: Theobroma cacao (cacao)
Lineage: Eukaryota; Viridiplantae; Streptophyta; Magnoliopsida; Malvales; Malvaceae
Description: long non-coding RNA (TCAC_LNC004752)
Source: RNAcentral
CUUUGACGGGAAUUUACAACACUCCUAGUCUUGAUCCUCGGGUGCAAUACCUUUGCCCUUAUCCGAGGGCUCACCACCUAUACAUAAUGUGUAACAGGAAAUUUAAUAUACUUAUGCUAAAUCGUCACAAAACUAUUCUAUGUUCUAUAUGAAUGCAUGCAAUGAAAUGAGAGGUGUUCGGCCUAUCGCGCACUAUACAUUAUUUAAUCAGUCUAAACGUCCAAUUCGAUUCCAAUUAAUUUAUUGCACUUCCAGUACUCCCCAAAAUUUCACACACUUCACUAAAAAUCUAUUCUAAGUGUAAUUACCAAAAUAUCCCUCAUUAUUGUGCAAAUUACUAAGUAAUGGGAGUAAAAUUUUUCGAUACCCAUUUUUUAUUUUCAGUAUUCCUAAGCACCAAAUACAAUCUAAAGGGCAUGAAAAACAACCAAAUUCAUCAUCAAACCUCACCCAUAAAAUUCAGCCAAGAUAGGUUCUAUAAUGGGCAUGUGGAUUUCUUACUUAAUUUUCAUACUAAAUGUUACAAAACACCUAAAAACACUAAGUUACCUUGAAAUUCAACUAAAUUCAUCACCAACUUUCUCUCUCUAAAUCUGGCCAGCAUAUUGCCCCUCAUGAAAACUUGAAUUUAAUUCAUGGAAAAUGGAAAAGAAUGCAUGGGCAAGAUGAAUUUCAAGCUUAAUAUUAAAAAUCUUACCUUUAGUCACCAAUUUCUUGAAAAUUCAACAAUUUUUCCUUAGAUUUUCCUCCCUAGGGUUUUUCUUUCUUUUCUUUUCUUCUCUUCCUUGCUUGGCCAAAUGUUGGGAGUGAUAAUGGCUGAUUUAUGCUAUUUUUUUAGUUAAAUAAUAAAAUAUCUUAAGCUUGACACUUGUUAUUUUCUUAUUGGUCCAUUUUUAAAACUUUAAAUUUUAAACCUUUUAUUUCCAUCACAUGAUUAGUCAAAGGUCAAAAAUGAGGAUAAGGGAAGACCAUGUACUAGACAAAUGUCCUGGUGGUGGAAAAUUACUGUUUUGCCAUUGUGGUGGUAAAAUUACCAUUUUACCCCUAUGCUCUAAAAAAUACUGGGAUUAAAAUUUUUUUCACUUCUUAACCUCAAAUCAUACUCCAAUACUCAAAUCAUACUCUAAUAAGUCAAAUGGGGCCAAACAAUCUUUUCUAAAAAUUCUCAUUUUGUCCUCAGGUGGCAAAUGACUAUGUUGCCCCUAGAUAGUGAAAAUUUCGGUUUGACUCCAAAUUGAUCCUCAAAUUCUGAAUUACCAUUUUAAGUCAUCUUUGGACUGUGACGCUCUUAAUUUCACCUUAAAAUUCUUAUUUAAUCUAGUUCGAGGUUUAAAUCAACUUUGUUGUACCUCUAAGUACAAUACUUACUUUUGUAAAUUUUUCAGGACUCUCCUAACAUGCAAUCAUGCUAUCAUUACAUGUAUGUCAUGACAAGUAUUUUAUGAGGUCAGGCUUUACAAAACAGUUUUUGUGUUUUGGUUGGAGAGGAAAAGAAAUGAAUAGCUCAAGAUUUUCCAUCCAUUUUUAAAUAAACAAAAAGUUUUAAUUUUUUCAAAUUCGGUAUAAAAUUGAAAUAAAGAGAAAGUGGAAAAAAAAAAGAAAAAGAAGAAGGUGAAAAGAACUAUAGGGAAGAAAACGAUUUUUACGUUUUGAUUGCUUCCAUCCAUCUUUAAUUUGGUAAAAUCUCAUAAAAAAUUCUAGAAAAAUUCUUGCCAGUUGAUUUUGUUGAUAUAUCACAAAAUUUUGUGUCACUUCCUAAUGAUUUUGCAAAAAAAGUUCAAUAACUUUGCUGGAAAGAUUUUU